RNAcentral lists this ribosomal RNA (93 nucleotides) under Astragalus barbatus. RNAcentral describes it as "partial 26S ribosomal RNA". It matches the Rfam family "Eukaryotic large subunit ribosomal RNA", at positions 1 to 89 of the family's 3401-position model. The record is from RNAcentral. Lineage: Eukaryota; Viridiplantae; Streptophyta; Magnoliopsida; Fabales; Fabaceae.
CGAGACCUCAGGUCCAGGGCGGGGCUACCCGCUGAAUUUAAGCAUAUCAAUAAGCGGAGGAAAAGAAACUAACAAGGAUUCCCUUAGUAACGG